This 82-nucleotide transfer RNA is filed under the name Spirochaetaceae bacterium. Its description in RNAcentral is "tRNA-Leu". It matches the Rfam family "tRNA". Rfam says of the family: Transfer RNA (tRNA) molecules are approximately 80 nucleotides in length. Their secondary structure includes four short double-helical elements and three loops (D, anti-codon, and T loops). Lineage: Bacteria; Pseudomonadati; Spirochaetota; Spirochaetia; Spirochaetales; Spirochaetaceae. The record is from RNAcentral.
GCGGGCGUGGUGAAAUUGGUAGACACGCCAGACUUAGGAUCUGGUGCCGCAAGGCUUGGGAGUUCGAGUCUCCCCGCCCGCA